AGCCCUUGACAUCCAGAGAAUUUUCUAGAGAUAGAUUAGUGCCUUCGGGAGCUCUGUGAC
This 60-nucleotide ribosomal RNA is filed under the name uncultured bacterium. RNAcentral's name for it is "partial 16S ribosomal RNA". The record is from RNAcentral.